CCUGCCCAAGAGACUGGGAUAACACCUGGAAACAGAUGCUAAUACCGGAUAACAACACUAGACGCAUGUCUAGAGUUUAAAAGAUGGUUCUGCUAUCACUCUUGGAUGGACCUGCGGUGCAUUAGCUAGUUGGUAAGGCAACGGCUUACCAAGGCAAUGAUGCAUAGCCGAGUUGAGAGACUGAUCGGCCACAUUGGGACUGAGACACGGCCCAAACUCCUACGGGAGGCAGCAGCU
RNAcentral lists this ribosomal RNA (237 nucleotides) under uncultured bacterium. Its description in RNAcentral is "partial 16S ribosomal RNA". It matches the Rfam family "Bacterial small subunit ribosomal RNA", at positions 125 to 355 of the family's 1533-position model. The record is from RNAcentral.